RNAcentral lists this transfer RNA (71 nucleotides) under Toxocara canis (dog roundworm). It matches the Rfam family "tRNA". Rfam says of the family: Transfer RNA (tRNA) molecules are approximately 80 nucleotides in length. Their secondary structure includes four short double-helical elements and three loops (D, anti-codon, and T loops). The record is from Rfam by way of RNAcentral. Lineage: Eukaryota; Metazoa; Nematoda; Chromadorea; Rhabditida; Toxocaridae.
CGGGCAGUAGCUCACUGGUAAGCUCUCGCUUCAUAUGCGGGAAGACCUGGGUUCGAUUCCCUGCCGCUUAC